Molecule: ribosomal RNA, 253 nt
Filed under: uncultured bacterium
Lineage: Bacteria
Description: partial 16S ribosomal RNA
Rfam family: Bacterial small subunit ribosomal RNA
Source: RNAcentral
UACGGAAGGGGCAAGCGUUGUUCGGAAUCAUUGGGCGUAAAGGACGCGCAGGUGGCUCUGUAUGUCUGCCGUGAAAGCAUACAGCUCAACUGUAUUGUGUCGGUAGAAACUGCAGGACUUGAGGCUGGGAGGGGCUGGUGGAAUUCCCUGUGUAGCGGUGAAAUGCGUAGAGAUGGGGGAGAACACUCGUGGCGAAGGCGGCCAGCUAGACCAGUUCUGACACUGAGGCGCGACAGCGUGGGGAGCAAACAGG